Molecule: small nucleolar RNA, 104 nt
Organism: Talpa occidentalis (Iberian mole)
Lineage: Eukaryota; Metazoa; Chordata; Mammalia; Eulipotyphla; Talpidae
Product: small nucleolar RNA U13
Exons: 1
Source: RefSeq, a predicted model, not a curated record
CUCUUUUUCCGGGUCAUAAGCAUGAUAAUUGGGUGUUAACACCAUGGUGUGAGAUGUGCCUCCCUUAAACUUGGUUAUAAUGUUGGCACAUUACCCUUCUGACA